GAGAAAGCGGGGCGAGAGGAUCCGCUCGGGGCUGGCCGGCCCCAGGCAGCGCGCCCCGCACGCCCGGAGCGAGCCGGACGGCGCGGGAAGACGAUACGGCGCUGCCCGCCUGCCGCCGCGCUCCGAGGCCGCCGCCCCCGGCCGGCCGCUCCCAGGCACCGCCGCGACCUGCCCCGGCCGGCCCCGGGCUCUCGGCCGCCGCGGGAGGGCGUGGGGCGGGGCGGCGGCCGCCGGACUCUCCCCUCGCCUCGCCGGGCCGGGCCGGGGCCGCGCUCGGGCGCCCGCGAUCGCCAAGUGACAGAAGUGCCUCGCUCCGCUGCCGCGCCGAGCUGUUUCCCGGGGGCGGAUUUCUCGCUUCUUCCUCCCUGGAUCCACCUCCUCCCACUCCACCUCCUUCCCCUCCCCUCCCCAGGGGAGGCUCUGAGGCUGAAUAUUUUCUGUCUUGAAUAAUACGGUCCCGGGAACCGAGGCUGGAGAAGGGGGAUUAGCCGGGGUAGGGGGUACUCACUCCAACCCCCUCCCAAGGCGUCUCCGACCUGCAAGCCCUCACUGCCUCCCCCCCCCCCCCCCCCCCCGCUCGCUAACACCCCUCCCAGAAACCAGGCUCACACAAAACCUUCCCUGCCUUCUCCUGUCUCCCGAGGGCAGAGCGGGAGCGGCCAGGAGCCGAGGUUUCUACUGGGGAAGACUCGGUGCUUGGCGUCAGGGGCGUCAGGGACAAUUCUAUGACUGGAUUCGCGAAUACAGCUGAAUGAAGCCGGCGCGGCUAGCGGAACUGAGGAAAAGGUGGCUGCGCCGCUCCACUCUACAGGUCAGAGCCGCUCCGGGGACCGAGCGCCACCGCCGCCCCUCCCCACCCAAUUCCGGGGCCUGCCUCAGACCGCUGGCGGCUGGCUCCGCCCCGCCGCGCCUCACAACAUCUCCCGCUGCAAAUGGCCCAAUCGGGAGACGCGAGGAGAAAACAAGAGCCAAUCAGGCGCUGCUGACUCAGGCUUCCCUCCACCCUUGGCCCCUCCCCCGGUAGGAAAAGCCACCGCCCCUCUGUCUCCCCUUCCCACCCCCUCACCCGCCCGGGAGGUGGCUCACCGGCUCCAGUCCCCGUCCGGCUGGAGUGGGGUAGCCCGCUGAGGUGGCGGCGUUUGUCACCUUGUCACCCUCAUCCUCGCCCCCUCCCAGACACACCCCUUCUCCCUUUCCCAGUCCUCCUGCUGGUGCUGUUGAGGGUCAUUUGUAUCCUCACACCGGCAGGGGACCACCAGCUAUUGUGUCUGAUCAGCUGCCACCACCAUCCUGAGGGAAAAGAACAAAACCAAGAAGCUAUGUGAUCUGCUUACCUUUUCCUUCUUUCUUAACCACUCUAUCUCCUGAGAUUUUAAGACGCCUCCCCAUCCCCUGCUCCCUGCCCGCCGCCAGGGGUCCUGUUUCUUGAUUUGGGCGGGAUGGGAGGUGGGGGGGGGGGGGGGACACCACUCCCUGGAGCCUGAAUACCUGUGCCUUAGUUUUUAAUAUUCCUAUGAGUGGAAGGUGACAAACAUUUAGAAUAUACAACUAAAUCUUCGGCCUCAAUUAGAGGAAAGACUUUGACUGGAUCAUCUUUAUAUGGCCGUGAAAUUUGCAUGUUCGUGACAGCCCCUGACAAAACUAGUCAGCCAAUAACAAAGAAAGGAAAAAAAAAAGAGAAUAAAAUAGAGGGGAUGCCUGCCAGUCAUUUGGUAAUUUACUGAAUAGCCCACUGGGCUAUAGCAGUAUCCAGUUCUAGAUACUGUUGAGUAAAUUAACAAGAAGUGAAUAGAAAUGCAGGGUUCAAGUAGCGUACCUCUAGUGGGCUUAUAGAAUAUGUCCAGAAAGGGAAAACAAUUUCAAGCACAAAACAGCUCUUUACAAAUGCAAAUGUGCAUGCAUGGAGUACUUCACCGCUGAGGACAUCUAGGGUUAAGAUUUUUGCAAUGGAAAUUUUCAUAAAUGUUGAUUUUGAAAAAGAUUUUCAGUUUGGUGAAGGAGAGUAAACAUUGGCCAUGGAAGGAGACGUGGAAAGGAGGUUAACCCAUUUUAGGAAGUGUGGAAAAAUAACAUAACCUAGAAAGACAUUUCUAUAAGAGGUAAAAUGGAAGCAUCCAGAUCACAGUCUCGCUCCAUCAUUUACCUUGUGACUUAAGGCAGAUUAUUAUUUAUGUGUCCGAGUACUAGAGCUAUCAAGUAAUAAGAGUGCCUGCCAUCUAUAAAGCACUGCCUCUGUGCUGGGUAUUCCUUCAAGAGCUUUGCACACAACGUAAGGAGAUAGCUGUGUGACAGAGCCAGGAUUAAGCCCAGGCGAUGGGCUCCAGAGUCCGUGCUUUUCUCCACAACACUAUACUCCAACACGAUACUCCAACACGGUUUUUCAUAAUCAUAACAACAAUAUUAACUAACACUUACUUAGCUUAUUAUGCGCUAAUUAGUGUGCUUUGUGGGUAACUAAUUUAAUCUCACCUCUGGGUUAGGCAUGAUUAUGAUGUUCCGUAUUGAGGAAUGUUUUUAAGAGCCAUUAUGAUAAGUUACUGUUAUAUGUAUCUUAUUUCUGUUAGGAUAGGAAUGAUCAUGAUGUUCUAAAAAUUUGGGAAUGUUUUUGAGAACCAUUGUGAUAAAUUGCUAUCAUAUGUAUCUGUGUGUUAGGCUAUCUGGAUGGACAGGGACAGUAGCACAGAACUAAGAGUUGGGAAACCUGGGUCCUAGUCCUUUCCUGGGAUCUCCGAGUAGGACAUCACCUUUCCUAGCUAGCUGGGCUGUUGAGAGUGUCGAAUGACAUAAUACGUGUGAAGGGACUUUCAAAAUGUAAAAACGUUAUUCUGAUUACAUUAUUUGUCUUAUUAUAAAGCAGGUGUUUAUCCUGUCUCCCCGACUGGGAACCCUACUCUUUACAACAUUUUGUUGUUAUGUAUUAGGAACAUUUUAAUCCAGUUAAAAAUUAGGCCAAUUCCUUUCUUGAAGGCAUGAGCAAUAAUAGUAUUUUAUUAACUGUCUGAGCUCUCAUUUAGAUGCAUUCUAAGCAGACCACUGUGGACACUCUCUGGGCAUCUGUAAAGUGGCAGCCAUCAGCCAGUCAUUCGCCAUGCCAAAGGUGUAACUGGUGGAGAAUGUAACUGGUGGAGAAUGUAAACCCUUGGAGUUCCCUUCAGCUGCCCAUCUUGGGCAUUUCACUCAUUAACACCUCCACCAGAGGGAGGGCAAGAGAAAGGAAAAGGAGCCAAACUUCCAUCCUGCGGCUACUUGUUAACUGCUCCAGUGAGAGAUUUGGUGAAACAAUGAGUUUGGGGAUCACUCUAACUGAAAGGAGAUUUGGAACUAACUGUGGGUUUCACAGUUGAUAUCUUGAUAAGUUUUCUUUACCCUAAAUACAAUGGAUAAGCAAGAGCUAACAGUAAUUCCACCUUUGUUUUACUUUGGAAGGCUAAUAUUUUCCUCUUUUGUGCAAAGCCAAUUAAUAAUCUAGCUUCUUAGAAAUUUCCACAGCUAUAUUAAUAAUAACUACCAGACGGUCUUGUACACUAUGAUUCUGACAAUGUAGGCAAGACAUUUUUAAAUAUGGGAACUAUAUCCUUAAAAUGUAACUUUUGACUUUGUUAAUGACACAAUAAUAUUGUUUUGGUGAACCACAAUCAAGGAAAAAUGUCGAAGCCAGAAAUAGAGCCAAGUGUCUUAACCUCUGGUCUAAUGUCAUUCUGUUAUAAACUAUGGAUGAUUUCUACUCUGAAUAUAGAAGCUGGCAAUUCUAAGAGGCACAAGUGUUUGCCAUUGAAUUCCACAGAUGAAAUGUGUAAUUUGGGAUGAAGCAUUUGCAAAACUAUGUGUCUGAGGUAGUUAAGACCAAUGGCUCUCAGAAGAGUGAGCAUUUUUUUUUUUUUUUUUUUGGUUUUAGGACAAUGCUGUAGGCUUCUUUUUCAUACAAUACUAAAAAGAUACGUUACCUGCUAAUAUUUCCUUGAAAAGGCCUUUGAUGUUGAACUGAAUAGCUCCAGAAAGCCCACCUCUCUAGCAAAGCAUUCACUACUGUAAUCAAAAGAAGGGAGUGAUUUUCCACAAUAAAUAAUUUCUAAGAUUC
Molecule: long non-coding RNA, 4078 nt
Organism: Leopardus geoffroyi (Geoffroy's cat)
Lineage: Eukaryota; Metazoa; Chordata; Mammalia; Carnivora; Felidae
Exons: 2
Source: RefSeq, a predicted model, not a curated record